RNAcentral lists this ribosomal RNA (1318 nucleotides) under uncultured eukaryote. RNAcentral's name for it is "SSU rRNA". It matches the Rfam family "Eukaryotic small subunit ribosomal RNA", at positions 53 to 1482 of the family's 1831-position model. The record is from RNAcentral.
GCAUGUCUAAGUAUAAGUAUUAUAAAGCGAAACUGCGAAUGGCUCAUUAAAACAGUUGUAAUUUAUUUGAUGAUUUUCUUACAUGGAUAACCGUGGGAAACUAGGGCUAAUACAUGCGUAAGACCUUUACAGGUCGUAUUUAUUAGUUUCAAACUAAUGCAGCCAACUGCAUUGUGAGGAAUCAAAAUAACUGAUCGAAGCUCAUUUAUGAGCUAAAUCAUUCAAGCUUCUGACCUAUCAGCUCGUUGUUAGUGUAUUGGACUAACAAGGCGGUAACAGGUAACGGAGAAUUGGGGUUCGAUUCCGGAGAGUCAGCCUGAGAAACGGCUGACAUUUCUACGGAAGGCAGCAGGCGUGAAAAUUACCCAAUCACAAUUCGUGGAGGUAGUUAAUAGACAUAACAAUUCCGGCCUUUUAGGUUCUGGAAAUGUAAUGAAGUCAAUUUAAACAAUUGAUUGAAAUCCAUUGGAGGGCAAGUCUGGUGCCAGCAGCCGCGGUAAUUCCAGCUCCAAUAGCUUUGUUGAAAGUUGCUGCAGUUAAAAAGCUCGCAGUUGAAUAUCCGGCGUCUUUGACGUCUGCCCGGUACGACUUUCGAUACCGAAAGGUUUUGUCUGCUCGUUUGGGCGUUUACUGUGAACAAAUUAGAGUGCUCAAAACAGGCUUUUGCUUGAAUUUUUUAGCAUGGAAUAAUAAAAUACGACUUCGCUCAUUUUAUUGGUUAUUGGACGGAGUAAUGGUUAACAGGAACAGUUGGGGGCAUUCGUACUUAAAAGUCAGAGGUGAAAUUCUUAGAUUUUUUAAAGACGAACUAAUGCGAAGGCAUUUGCCAAGGAUGUUUUCAUUAAUCAAGAACGAAAGCGUUGGGAUCAAAAAGGAUCAGAUACCCUUGUAGUCAACGCCGUAAACGAUACUGACUAGGGAUUGGUGAGGUAACCCCUCAUCAGCACCUAAUGAGAAAUCAAAGUCUUUGAGUUCUGGGGAGAGUAUGGUCGCAAGGCUGAAACUUAAAGGAAUUGACGGAAAGAUACACAAGUCGUGGAUUCUGCGGCUUAAUUUGAUUUAACACGGGAAAACUUACGCAGGCAAAAAGUUAAAAGGAUUGACAGCUUGAUAGCACUUUCUUGAUAUGACAGCGAGUGGUGCAUGGCCGUUCUUAGUUGGUGGAGUGAUUUGUCAGGUUAAUUCCCUAAACGAACGAGAUCUUCGCUUGCUAAUUAGUCGUCGUUAAAAUCUAGCGAUUGACUUCUUAGAAGGACUACGGUUCCCAAAACCGUGGAAGUUGGAGGCAAUAACAGGUCCGUGAUGCCCUCAGAUGUUU